AAUGAACGCUGGCGGCAGGCCUAACACAUGCAAGUCGAACGCCCCGCAAGGGGAGUGGCGCACGGGUGAGUAACGCGUGGGAAUAUGCCCUUCGGUUCGGAAUAACACAGGGAAACUUGUGCUAAUACCGGAUACGGUCUACGGACGAAAGAUUUAUCGCCGAGGGAGUAGCCCGCGUAGGAUUAGCUAGUUGGUGAGGUAAUGGCUCACCAAGGCGACGAUCCUUAGCUGGUCUGAGAGGAUGAUCAGCCACACUGGGACUGAGACACGGCCCAGACUCCUACGGGAGGCAGCAGUGGGGAAUAUUGGACAAUGGGCGAAAGCCUGAUCCAGCCAUGCCGCGUGAGUGAUGAAGGCCUUAGGGUUGUAAAGCUCUUUCGCCGGGGAAGAUAAUGACGGUACCCGGAAAAGAAGCCUCGGCUAACUCCGUGC
This 432-nucleotide ribosomal RNA is filed under the name uncultured bacterium. RNAcentral describes it as "bacterial SSU rRNA". It matches the Rfam family "Bacterial small subunit ribosomal RNA", at positions 29 to 508 of the family's 1533-position model. The record is from RNAcentral.